AUUGAACGCUGGCGGCAUGCUUUACACAUGCAAGUCGAACGGCAGCGCGGGCUUCGGCCUGGCGGCGAGUGGCGAAUGGGUGAGUAAUGCAUCGGAACGUGCCCAGUAGUGGGGGAUAGCCCGGCGAAAGCCAGAUUAAUACCGCAUACGACCUGAGGGUGAAAGCGGGGGACCGAAAGGCCUCGCGCUAUUGGAGCGGCCGAUGUCGGAUUAGCUAGUUGGUGGGGUAAAGGCUUACCAAGGCGACGAUCCGUAGCUGGUCUGAGAGGACGACCAGCCACACUGGGACUGAGACACGGCCCAGACUCCUACGGGAGGCAGCAGUGGGGAAUUUUGGACAAUGGGGGCAACCCUGAUCCAGCCAUGCCGCGUGCGGGAAGAAGGCCUUCGGGUUGUAAACCGCUUUUGUUCGGGAAGAAAUCCUCUGGGCUAAUACCCCGGGGGGAUGACGGUACCGGAAGAAUAAGCACCGGCUAACUACGUG
This 484-nucleotide ribosomal RNA is filed under the name uncultured bacterium. RNAcentral describes it as "partial 16S ribosomal RNA". It matches the Rfam family "Bacterial small subunit ribosomal RNA", at positions 29 to 507 of the family's 1533-position model. The record is from RNAcentral.